This is a long non-coding RNA of Brassica oleracea var. oleracea, 1004 nucleotides long. RefSeq lists it as uncharacterized. The transcript is spliced from 6 exons. Lineage: Eukaryota; Viridiplantae; Streptophyta; Magnoliopsida; Brassicales; Brassicaceae. The record is from RefSeq and is a predicted model, not a curated record.
AAGCGUCACCCCGCUAAACCUAAUUAUCGUCUCCGUUCAUCCGAGUCUGAUCUCGGCGGCGAGAAUGACGAUCCAUGUUCUCCUUCUCCCUGUAACGGACUUGACUUUAAUGGCAUCAAUGCGUCCGUCGAGAUCUCCGUUAUAAAUAGGUUUUUUUCUGAUUUGAAGACCAGGAAGUGUUCAAACGUUAAGCGGGGUGGAUAUUGCGGCUUCAUCUAAUCUCUUUGCAAUCUAAUCGCGUCUUCACACAGCUUCUUCCCCGUUUAUCUCCGCACCAAACAGGAAUUGAGUUUUUAUCCUCGCCAAAUCAUGCCCAGACAAUCAGAGCUUCGGUUCGAACGAUUCCAAUUCUUCACUGGAGACAAACCAACGAAACCCAGGGCUUCAGCAAUCGAUGUCAAGGAGACAGUGAAUGAUGACAUGUGUGUGCUUAUCUCCAGCUUUAAUUACCAAUGCCUACACUUUGGUCUCUGUACAAAACGCAGAUGCUUUAGACAAGAAACCAUGAGUUUGCCGUAACUGCCAGGGCAUUGGUACUGUUCUUUGUGAUAUGUGCGGGGGGUACAUGAAAAUGGAAAGCUCCCAACCGAAAACGAGCCAAAGAUAGGUUUGAGUUUAUAGAAUGUCCGAACUGUUAAGGUGGAGGGUUUUCCCGGUCUGUUUAGGUAGAAGGUGGUGCCGUACAAUGUACAAUGGUUGUCUUCUUCCCAAUUCUUGAGCAGGUAUAUAGUACAUGUCCUCAUUUCAUCUCCACAUAAAGAUAAUUGGUCUGUUUUGACUGGGAAAAAUGUGUUACUUUUUCUCUCAGCACAAUGGCAAUAGUUAUGAUUAUAGAAGAGGAAGAAAAGUAAUACAUUCAUGUGAAGCUAUAGAUGAAUGGGAUGCUAGAACAUGUUUUGUAAUGCUGCUAGAAAUGUGUUGUUAAUUCUUUACAAACCGAAGAGUUUUCUUCUUCCUUAGACAGUCUUGACGACUCAAUUUCACAUUCCCUACAUCGAUGACAA